Molecule: non-coding RNA, 90 nt
Organism: Pelobates cultripes (western spadefoot toad)
Lineage: Eukaryota; Metazoa; Chordata; Amphibia; Anura; Pelobatidae
Source: the annotation of a GenBank genome assembly
AAAAUAAUUCCAAAAUACCAUAGUAUUGCAGUAUGCAUUGAUACCUUGCAUACUGCAAUACUCUGGUAUUUUGGCAUAAUAUAUAUUUUU